CUUCAACUGAGUUUAUUGGCAUUUCUUAGCACAUACGAGUUCGAAGAAAAUUUAUUACAGGUAGUUGCAGUCUGGCAUCAUGUGGCACAUCAUCACUGUCUCUUCUGCAAAUUUCUGAGAAUAAGAAGAAUUGGUUGAAAAAACUUCUAACAUCUCCAUCGGUUUGUAAUCAGCGAAUACAAUUAUGAAGCAAUUUCCUACCUGUUUUUUUAUUUGAUCCAUGAACUU
RNAcentral lists this long non-coding RNA (228 nucleotides) under Homo sapiens (human). RNAcentral describes it as "non-protein coding lnc-EVX1-14:4". The record is from RNAcentral. Lineage: Eukaryota; Metazoa; Chordata; Mammalia; Primates; Hominidae.